Molecule: ribosomal RNA, 1287 nt
Filed under: metagenome
Description: bacterial LSU rRNA
Rfam family: Bacterial large subunit ribosomal RNA
Source: RNAcentral
CACUGGUAGGCAGGGUGAGAAUCCCAAGGCGCUUGAGAGAACUCGGGUGAAGGAACUAGGCAAAAUGGCACCGUAACUUCGGGAGAAGGUGCGCCCUUUGGUGUGGUCACGUGCGUGACUGAGCAUCGAAGGGUCGCAGUAACCUGGCCGCUGCGACUGUUUAUCAAAAACACAGCACUCUGCAAACACGAAAGCGGACGUAUAGGGCGUGACGCCUGCCCGGUGCUGGAAGGUUAAUUGAUGGGGUCAGCCGCAAGGCGAAGCUCUUGAUCGAAGCCCCAGUAAACGGCGGCCGUAACAAUAACGGUCCUAAGGUAGCGAAAUUCCUUGUCGGGUAAGUUCCGACCUGCACGAAUGGCGUAACGACAGCGGCGCUGUCUCCACCCGAGACUCAGUGAAAUUGAAAUCGCUGUGAAGAUGCAGCGUUCCCGCGGCAAGACGGAAAGACCCCGUGAACCUUUACUAUAGCUUUACAUUGAACGUUGAGUUCUUCUGUGUAGGAUAGGUGGGAGGCUAUGAAACCGAGACGCUAGUUUCGGUGGAGCCAUCCUUGAAAUACCACCCUGAAGUGCUUGACGUUCUAACCUAGGUCCGUAAUCCGGAUCGGGGACCAUGUAUGGUGGGUAGUUUGACUGGGGCGGUCUCCUCCCAAAGAGUAACGGAGGAGCACGAAGGUACGCUCAGCGCGGUCGGACAUCGCGCACUGUGUGCAAAGGCAUAAGCGUGCUUGACUGCGAGAUCGACGGAUCAAGCAGGUACGAAAGUAGGUCUUAGUGAUCCGGUGGUUCUGUAUGGAAGGGCCAUCGCUCAACGGAUAAAAGGUACUCCGGGGAUAACAGGCUGAUACCGCCCAAGAGUUCAUAUCGACGGCGGUGUUUGGCACCUCGAUGUCGGCUCAUCACAUCCUGGGGCUGUAGCCGGUCCCAAGGGUAUGGCUGUUCGCCAUUUAAAGUGGUACGCGAGCUGGGUUCAGAACGUCGUGAGACAGUUCGGUCCCUAUCUGUCGUGGGCGUUGGAGAUUUGAGGGGGGCUGCUCCUAGUACGAGAGGACCGGAGUGGACGUUCCGCUGGUGUUCGGGUUGUCAUGCCCAUGGCAUUGCCCGGUAGCUACGAACGGAAGUGAUAACCGCUGAAAGCAUCUAAGCGGGAAGCACGCCCCAAGAUGAGAUCUCCCGAGAGCUAGACUCUCCUUAAGGCACCAUCAAGACUAGGUGGUUGAUAGGCGCGGUGUGGAAGUGCAGCAAUGCAUUGAGCUUACGCGUACUAAUGAGCCGUGAGGCUUGACCG